AGCAACAAGAAUUAUACAUUCACCUUUGACUUACAAGACCAAUGCUCUUUAUUAAGCUAUUGUUGC
This 66-nucleotide transfer RNA is filed under the name Nassarius granifer. RNAcentral's name for it is "Nassarius graniferus tRNA-Thr". Lineage: Eukaryota; Metazoa; Mollusca; Gastropoda; Neogastropoda; Nassariidae. The record is from RNAcentral.